UUCCGGUUGAUCCUGCCGGACCUGACUGCUAUCGGAUUGAUACUAAGCCAUGCGAGUCAUUGUAGCAAUACAAGGCAUACGGCUCAGUAACGCGUAGUCAACCUAACCUAUGGACGGGAAUAACCUCGGGAAACUGAGAAUAAUGCCCGAUAGAACAUUAUGCCUGGAAUGGUUUAUGUUCCAAAUGAUUUAUCGCCAUAGGAUGGGACUGCGGCCUAUCAGUUUGUUGGUGAGGUAAUGGCCCACCAAGACUAUUACAGGUACGGGCUCUGAGAGGAGUAGCCCGGAGAUGGGUACUGAGACACGGACCCAGGCCCUAUGGGGCGCAGCAGGCGAGAAAACUUUGCAAUGUGCGAAAGCACGACAAGGUUAAUCCGAGUGAUUUCUGCUAAAGAGAUCUUUUGUUAGUCCUAGAACCACUAACGAAUAAGGGGUGGGCAAGUUCUGGUGUCAGCCGCCGCGGUAAAACCAGCACCUCAAGUGGUCAGGAUGAUUAUUGGGCCUAAAGCAUCCGUAGCCGGCUCUGUAAGUUUUCGGUUAAAUCUGUACGCUCAACGUACAGGCUGCCGGGAAUACUGCAGAACUAGGGAGUGGGAGAGGUAGACGGUACUCGGUAGGAAGUGGUAAAAUGCUUUGAUCUAUCGAUGACCACCUGUGGCGAAGGCGGUCUACCAGAACACGUCCGACGGUGAGGGAUGAAAGCUGGGGGAGCAAACCGGAUUAGAUACCCGGGUAGUCCCAGCUGUAAACUAUGCAAACUCAGUGAUGCAUUGGCUUGUGGCCAAUGCAGUGCUGCAGGGAAGCCGUUAAGUUUGCCGCCUGGGAAGUACGUACGCAAGUAUGAAACUUAAAGGAAUUGGCGGGGGAGCACCACAAGGGGUGAAGCCUGUGGUUCAAUUGGAUUCAACGCCGGG
Molecule: ribosomal RNA, 914 nt
Filed under: uncultured crenarchaeote
Lineage: Archaea; Thermoproteati; Thermoproteota
Description: bacterial SSU rRNA
Rfam family: Archaeal small subunit ribosomal RNA
Source: RNAcentral